AUGUCAUAUUCCCUGGGGUACUCCCUCCUCUCUCCAUCUGCCCCCCCAACCGACUGGUCUCCUACUCAGUCUGCCCCCCCCUCCCCAACCCCAACUGCCUCCUCCAUCCCCCCACACCUCCCCAUCUACUCCCCAUCCCUCUGCUGGCCUCUCCAGUCUGGUCCCCACCCCGUCUCCUCCCCUCCCCCAUCUGCCUCCCACCCCUCUCUAUCUGCUCCUCCCUCCUUCCUCCCAUCCCCACCCACCAGUCUGGUCUCCCAACCCCCUGUGCCCCCACCCCUCCCUAGCUGUACCUCCCUCCCUCUACUCCCCUCCUCCACCUGCCCACCCCUGUCUUCCCCCCCUUCUCUGCCUCCUCUCCCCCCAUCUGCUCCUCUGCUGCCCUCCCUCUCGCUGCUCCUCCCCUGUCUGGUGUCCCGGCCCCUCCCGUCUGUUCCCCCCAUCUGUCCCCCUAACUCUGUCUCUACUCUCCUUACCACCCCCCCCCCCGUCUGUCCCCCCCUCCCCCAUUCCGUCUGCUCCCCGCCCCCGCCUGGUCUCCCGCCCCCUGUCUGUCCCCCCGACUCGUCUACUCUCUCCUCUCCCCCCACCGUUGUCUGCCCCUCCCCUAUCUGCCCCCCCACGCUGCUCAUCACCCCCAUCUCCCGCCCCCUCCCAUCGGUUCCCCCGUCUGUCCCCCCCACUCGUGUGUCCCCCCACUCCGUCUACUCUCCCUUCCCCAUCUGCCCCUCCCCCGUCUGCACCCCCUGCUGCUCCCCCUCCCGUCUGCCCCUCGCCCGUCUGUCCUUCCCCCCCCAUCUGUCCCCUCCCCUGUCUCUCGCCCUCUCCCGUCUGUCCCCCCUCCCUCUCCCGCCCGGUCUCCCCCCCGCCGUGUGCCCCUCCCCUGUCUGCCCCCCCUUGUCCUCCCCCGUGGUCUCCUGCCCCCCCCCCCCCCCCCGCGUCUGUCCCCCCCCCACUCCGUCUACUCUCUCCUCCCCCUCCCGCCCGGUCUCCUCCCGCCGUCUGCCCCUCCCCCACCGUCUGCCCCUCCCCCGCCUGCUCCCCGCCCCCCCCGCGAGCUCGCGGCCGCCUGGUGUGCGCAUGCGCGGGCCCUUGGAGCGCCGGAACUCGGGUUCGGGGCCGCGCAGCCGGCGGAGCGCGUUGGACGAGGCGCCGGACGUCGCGCGGUGGCGGCGGCGGCGGCGGCGGCGAAGCUGGAGCGGCGGUGGCGGCGGCGGCGGGAGGCCGGGGCUGAGGCCGGGGCCGGGGCUGCGAGGCCCGCGGGGCGGCAGGCGGCGGCGGCGGCCCGGGGCCCGAGCCCGGAGACGGGAGCGGCCGCCAUGGCCGAGAGCAUCGUGA
RNAcentral lists this long non-coding RNA (1338 nucleotides) under Canis lupus familiaris (dog). RNAcentral's name for it is "lncRNA (ENSCAFG00030015632.1)". Lineage: Eukaryota; Metazoa; Chordata; Mammalia; Carnivora; Canidae. The record is from RNAcentral.